This 1547-nucleotide long non-coding RNA is filed under the name Capsicum annuum. RNAcentral describes it as "long non-coding RNA (CANN_LNC019954)". Lineage: Eukaryota; Viridiplantae; Streptophyta; Magnoliopsida; Solanales; Solanaceae. The record is from RNAcentral.
CAAACAAAACAAAACGAAUAAAAAAUAUAGUGUUUAGUCCGAGUUAUACAGUCCCAAAAUAGAAAAAUACAGAAAUAUAAAUCCUGUUCUAAACUAAUCCUAGACUAAGCUCCAAUGCUUCACCCGAUGCCUCGGGCCUUCAUCAUGAACGUCUUCCGUGUACAAAAUACUUCAGAGCAUUCUCCGAAUAAAAUAAUACAAGUACUUCGGGGCAUUCCCCGGCCAAAUAAUACAAGUGAUCCCAAAGCGAUAAAGUCAAAAACCAUUCAAUCACACAGUUCGAAUAGUCAACAAACCAUAAUCCCUAAAUUUGCCUACCCCUAACGUUUGUCUAUUUUUUGCUUCAACCUAAAACACAAUACUAUCGAGUUCGAUUAACAUCCAUUUCAAGUCAAACAACCAAUGAAUCAAACUAACCAAAAAUUCACCCUUUUUUAAAUCCAUUUUUAAUCCCCGCCCCACUUUCAUUCUUGAUCAAUUAACCAAUUCCAAUGCAGAAGCAACCAAUCAAAAUCAAACAAUCACAGACGUUCAAACAUACUAUAAAAAAUUAUCAUCAGUCAAACCACGCAACUCACAAUAUCAACACAUCAAAUUGAAUAAAACGAGGAGAAUGGGUUAAAGAAUUGGACCUCAAAUGUCAGAUUUCAAUAUAUCGGAGAUAAAACUGCGCCCAAAAAGCCUCAAUUUGAACCUCGACCCACAAAACUCCAAUUCGGUAUCAGAAAUCGAAGCCCAAAAAUUGGUUGUGAUGAACAAGUUGAGACGAACGAGAACCCAAACCCCCAAAACAGCAACGAAGCCUGAUUAGCCCAACCCAAGAAACACCACAGAACCGAUCCACCCGUACGCGAAAUUAUAGCAAAAUCGAGUAAAAAACAGAGCUGAUUUCAACGAAAACCUCUCACUAAUUCAUCCUUUUUUUUUUUGGGGCCAAGUCUGGCUUCUUCAUUUUUGAUUUCCCUUCACUAGUUUCGAUCAGUAUUUGUGCUUUCCGAUGAGUAUGAUGAGGUGUAUAUAUCGUGAGAGCUUGAGUGUGUAUGCCGAUGGGAGCAAGAAAGGAGAAGAAAAUGAGGUCCCUAAUGGCGUUUGUGUGGGGGCUUGUUUUUUUUUGAAAAUGGAGGAAUUUUUGGUGAGUAUGUGUAGGAGAGAAUAGAGAAAAUUCUCUGGGUUUUUUUUCCUGUAUAUGCUGUAUAUGAUUUCUGUGUGUAUAUCUUCUCCUUACGAAAGAAUGGUGAGGACCCUUUUUGCUGUGUGAUGGUGAGUGAGAGUAUUCAAAGUGGGUCCCCCUUUUUUGGAAUAUAGCGUGUAUAUAUGGAUGGAUUCUUUGGUUAAGAUAAGUGAUGUCUAUUUUCUUCCUGUGGGCCCCUUUUAGUGGAAAUAUGUAUAUGUGGGUUAUAUUUGUAUUCCAUCAAAAGAGAAACUCAAUUAUGUUAAGGGUCUAACAAGAAUGGAAAAGACGUAUUAGGGGGUUAGGGGUUGUGGUGACGUAGGGUUAGGGGGUAUGUGGUGAUGUGUUGUCAAUUUUUAAUUGAAGAGGUUGUUGG